AUGGCAACCAAGAGCCUUCUUCUCGCCGCCCUCCUGGUCCUCGCCGUCAGCCUGGCGCCGCACGGUGCGGAGGCGGCGGGCAAGCAGCCGCCAUUAGCAAUGAUCUCCGGCGUGGUGCCAUGCAGCGCCGGGAACUCCAUCAACGCAGCCGCGGUUCCGCCAUUCCCGAACGCUGCUGUGCAGAUGGUGUGCGGCCGUGAUGUGAUGGCCAGCGCGACGGCGGACCGCAGCGGAACGUACACAAUGAACAUGGGCCCGGCCACCUCGUCGUUGCUCGCCCCUCUACUCGGCAACCAGUGCAAGGUGGUGGUGCUCACCCCGUUGGCCGCAUGCAACGCGUCCCUAGCGAGCGUCACCGGAACGUUGACCGCACCCGUGCAGCUCCUGGGUAUUGACAGUGACAGUGGCAGCGGCAGCGGCGGCCUCGGGGGGCUUGGCGGCCUAAUUGGCCUCAUUGGCCAGAUCGUGGGCGGCCUCCUCGGCGGCAUCCUUAACAUCAUCCCAUUGCCCUUCUCUGUCGUCUAG
This 525-nucleotide ribosomal RNA is filed under the name Triticum aestivum (bread wheat). RNAcentral's name for it is "partial small subunit ribosomal RNA". Lineage: Eukaryota; Viridiplantae; Streptophyta; Magnoliopsida; Poales; Poaceae. The record is from RNAcentral.